UAGGGAAUCUUCCGCAAUGGACGCAAGUCUGACGGAGCAACGCCGCGUGAGUGAUGAAGGUUUUCGGAUCGUAAAGCUCUGUUGCCCUAGACGAACAGCAAGGAGAGUAACUGCUCUUUGUGUGACGGUAUAGGAGAAGAAAGCCCCGGCUAACUACGUGCCAGCAGCCGCGGUAAUACGUAGGGGGCAAGCGUUGUCCGGAAUUAUUGGGCGUAAAGCGCGCACAGGCGGUCAUUUAAGUCUGGUGUUUAAUCCUGGGGCUCAACCCCAGUUCGCAUCGGAAACUGGAUGACUUGAGUGUAGGAGAGGAAAGUGGAAUUCCACGUGUAGCGGUGAAAUGCGUAGAGAUGUGGAGGAACACCAGUGGCGAAGGCGACUUUCUGGCCUAUAACUGACGCUGAGGCACGAAAGCGUGGGGAGCAAACAG
This 427-nucleotide ribosomal RNA is filed under the name uncultured bacterium. RNAcentral's name for it is "bacterial SSU rRNA". It matches the Rfam family "Bacterial small subunit ribosomal RNA", at positions 355 to 775 of the family's 1533-position model. The record is from RNAcentral.